Tachysurus fulvidraco (yellow catfish) is the source of this 331-nucleotide long non-coding RNA. RefSeq lists it as uncharacterized. The record is from RefSeq and is a predicted model, not a curated record. NCBI's taxonomy places the organism in Eukaryota, Metazoa, Chordata, Actinopteri, Siluriformes, Bagridae. The transcript is spliced from 3 exons.
GGGAGUCGCUGCUUUUCUUUCUUCUUCCCUUCUUUUCUUCGUCUUCUAUCGUUUACAGUUUGUCACUCUGCUACUUUCCUUUUCUCACACAGAGGCGGGUUCUGUUUCUAUGGCGGAGCAGUGAAGGAGACUCAGGUGUGGCUUCUGAUUGGCUGGUAUAAAAACCUGAACCCACACCAGACCUUUCCUGAUAAUAUUGGACACCCCUUUUGGAGAGCAUUCUUUUAGCACAUAAGCCUAAAAAACAGGUGCUGACCAGUGUGGGAACCGGCUACCUCGGAUCAUAUUUCAGAGAUUUCGACACUAUGCUUGUUCAAAUUCAGCAAAAAAG